CAAUAGCGUAUAUUAAAGUUGUUGCGGUUAAAAAGCUCGUAGUUGGAUUUCUGUUGAGGUCGGCCGGUCCCUACUUCGUAGGCGUAUCUGGUUCAGCCUUGGCAUCCUCCUAGGGAACGGCACUGCUCUUAACUGAGUGGUCCGGUAUCUAGGACUUUUACUUUGAGGAAAUUAGAGUGUUUACGGCAGGCAAUCGCCUUGAAUAUGUUAGCAUGGAAUAAUAAUAUAGGACCUUGGUUCUAUUUUGUUGGUUUCUAGGACUAAGGUAAUGAUUAAUAGGGAUAUUUGGGGGCAUUCGUAUUAACCGGUCAGAGGUGGAAUUCUUGGAUUCGGUUACGACGAACUACUGCGAAAGCAUUUGCCAAGGAUGUUUUCAUUG
This 379-nucleotide ribosomal RNA is filed under the name uncultured eukaryote. RNAcentral's name for it is "partial 18S ribosomal RNA". It matches the Rfam family "Eukaryotic small subunit ribosomal RNA", at positions 592 to 975 of the family's 1831-position model. The record is from RNAcentral.